This 554-nucleotide long non-coding RNA is filed under the name Homo sapiens (human). RNAcentral's name for it is "non-protein coding lnc-SMCO3-1:2". Lineage: Eukaryota; Metazoa; Chordata; Mammalia; Primates; Hominidae. The record is from RNAcentral.
GAGGUUUCAAGAUGGCGGUAGCUGAGGGGUUGACCGAGAGACCCAGUUGAAGGCCUUUACGAAGUGAAAGAGGCCGGGAGUCGCCCCCUACCCGCUUCUCGUAGUCCUGGGAGCACAGCAGAAGUGUUUUUCUUUUUUUAAUGAACAAGUAAACCAUACAAAUUGUCAACAUGGGACGGAGAUCUACAUCAUCCACCAAGAGUGGAAAAUUUAUGAACCCCACAGACCAAGCCCGUAAGUGUCCAUUAGUGUGGAAUGAUGAAGUAGGAGAGUGUUAAAAAUUGCAAAUAUUAGGGAAUUUCUUUCUCUGUGGCUUAAUUACAAGACCAGCAGUGAUAGGAGGAAUAAAUUAUAUAUUCAGGGUUUGUAUGGGCACAUUAAGACUUUAAAUAUGCAAAGAAAUUAGUACCCGUAUUUUAUUUUUCAAAUUUGAUUGACUUGCAAAGUAGAAUUGGCUGAAAUCUUUCUUUUUAUAUUGGAAAUUUUGAGCAAAUUAGUUUUGCGAGCCCUUGUUUCGCGUUUUAUGUUAUGUUUUUCCUUCAGAUUCAUAGUUG